AAUAGUGUAUCUGACUCAAACUCCCACAGUGGGAAGGCAUCGGAAGGAUCAAAAAAUUUUCCAAACAGCAAUGGACCGAAAAGCGAACCAUCACCAAAAACCUUGUGAACUGUUGGACUACCUUUGAGCAUGAAGUGCAGGAGCUGUCCUUGGAAAAAGCAUAGAACAAAUUCUCUUGGAAUAUGUGGAGUACUAAAGCUAGAGGAAUAUUUCUUUUCUAUGUCUUGCUCACUGGUAAGAGAAUUGUGGCAGGCUAAUUAGGCAUGGCAGAAUCCUUGUGGCAGCCCACAGCCAAUAACUGGCCGUCUUCUUCUACAGAUGACGUCGCAAAUUAGAGGUGGCAACUACUACUUGUCAACAUACACUAAACCAAGCCACAGCCAUAAUCAUUAAGAAGUUGGAUGAGGCUGGAAAAUCGGAAGGCCAAGAAGAUGGCAUGGUACAACAGUGCUUUCAAAUAAGGUUCACAGAGUCCGGUAAGUGAAUUAAUUUAAUCUGAUGUUGCUUUUCUUGUAUAAUCUUACCAUCUAGUGCAUUUUCUUUUGCGUAAUCUUCUUUGCCAGACCUUUUGAAUGGAAAUUGUCACGGCCUCUUACUGUGCCAUGUUGUGUGAAAGGAAUACUUUCCGUGUAUUGGGUGUUUAUUGUCAUAAAGCACCUACUCUCUAUGCUUUUUCCUCAACUUUAUAUUAAAGUUUGGCAAAAUACAGAGAAGCUAUGUUCAGUGCAAUGGUUUUGGUAUUGGCAUCUCCAUAUUAACUUUUUCUAAAAGCAGGAUAAGUAUCAAUUUGAUGGAUGUUUGAAAUUAUGGCCAUGGGAAUACUAGAGCCACUUUUAAAAGUGAGGUAUGUCUAGAAAUGUGUGUUCCCAAUCAAAAGAUAGAUGGGCUGAUCAGUCAGUGCCAAUCUUGACACUGAACCAUGGUUUAUGGAACAUUAUUUUGAAUGGACGUACAGUACUGUAGCUAAUUGGAGAGAGAGAAUAAAUAUGUACAGUACUGUAGUUAUAUUACAAUAAUAAACCUUUCAUGAUUGAGCCAAUUGGAAAAGAAUAUUGAGAAAAGAGUCAUAUCUUCUAUCUUCUUUAUGAUAAUAUUUAGUAGCUCAAUCUUCAAUUGAAUAGUCAGUGUUGGCCAGUUCAUCAUAUCUUGAAGUAAUCUUUCUGGAGCUUGUAGUUUCCUGGAAGAAAUGACCAAAGAGAAACUAUGAGGGAAAGAUAAAAAAAAAAAAAAAAACAGAAA
This is a long non-coding RNA of Cornus florida, 1239 nucleotides long. RefSeq lists it as uncharacterized. Lineage: Eukaryota; Viridiplantae; Streptophyta; Magnoliopsida; Cornales; Cornaceae. The record is from RefSeq and is a predicted model, not a curated record. The transcript has 3 exons.